Peromyscus maniculatus bairdii (prairie deer mouse) is the source of this 463-nucleotide non-coding RNA. Lineage: Eukaryota; Metazoa; Chordata; Mammalia; Rodentia; Cricetidae. The record is from RefSeq and is a predicted model, not a curated record.
GGGUAACUGUGGCUUGAGGUGUUAGGUCUCACACUAGCCUUCAGAGGUGUUUCCUUCCACAUUACUUUGACAGCUUGCUCCUGCUUGUCAGAGAAGCCAAAUGAGAAAGAAGCGACACCUACUGGGAAGUAUGUGCGAACACGGCCCAUUACUGCGCUAGGAUCCUGCCACAGUCACCACCCCGGUCCAUAAGUCGAAGACUUUCAAGCAGCUUGGAGAAACACACAAGUCAGGCGACAAGAAGAUAAACUGGCACUGGCUGUCUAGGGACUGACAGCAUCACCAAUAGACACCCCCCGCCCCCAGAGGGUCCUCCUCCAACAUCUUUAAGCUAAACAGCCCUUUCCCCAUAAAUGUAUCCUCUACUUCUGAAGACAUAGUUGGGCUUAGAAGGAGGGCUUCAUUGCAACCUGACUCAAGCAGCAUCUUUGUUCUCUAAAUAAAAAGUCAUUGUCUUUCUUCA